This 431-nucleotide ribosomal RNA is filed under the name uncultured bacterium. RNAcentral describes it as "bacterial SSU rRNA". It matches the Rfam family "Bacterial small subunit ribosomal RNA", at positions 354 to 796 of the family's 1533-position model. The record is from RNAcentral.
GUGGGGAAUAUUGCACAAUGGGCGCAAGCCUGAUGCAGCGACGCCGCGUGAGGGAUGACGGCCUUCGGGUUGUAAACCUCUGUUAGCAGGGAAGAAGAGAGAUUGACGGUACCUGCAGAGAAAGCGCCGGCUAACUACGUGCCAGCAGCCGCGGUAAUACGUAGGGCGCGAGCGUUGUCCGGAAUUAUUGGGCGUAAAGAGCUUGUAGGCGGUUUGUCGCGUCUGCUGUGAAAGGCCGGAGCUUAACUCCGUGUAUUGCAGUGGGUACGGGCAGACUAGAGUGCAGUAGGGGAGACUGGAAUUCCUGGUGUAGCGGUGGAAUGCGCAGAUAUCAGGAGGAACACCGAUGGCGAAGGCAGGUCUCUGGGCUGUAACUGACGCUGAGAAGCGAAAGCAUGGGGAGCGAACAGGAUUAGAAACCCUAGUAGUCC